UAGGGAAUCUUCGGCAAUGGGGGCAACCCUGACCGAGCAACGCCGCGUGAGUGAAGAAGGUUUUCGGAUCGUAAAGCUCUGUUGUAAGAGAAGAACGUGUGUGAGAGUGGAAAGUCCACACAGUGACGGUAACUUACCAGAAAGGGACGGCUAACUACGUGUCAG
This 165-nucleotide ribosomal RNA is filed under the name uncultured bacterium. RNAcentral's name for it is "partial 16S rRNA". It matches the Rfam family "Bacterial small subunit ribosomal RNA", at positions 355 to 511 of the family's 1533-position model. The record is from RNAcentral.